This 74-nucleotide transfer RNA is filed under the name Ictidomys tridecemlineatus (thirteen-lined ground squirrel). RNAcentral's name for it is "Spermophilus tridecemlineatus (thirteen-lined ground squirrel) tRNA". It matches the Rfam family "tRNA". From Rfam's summary of the family: Transfer RNA (tRNA) molecules are approximately 80 nucleotides in length. Their secondary structure includes four short double-helical elements and three loops (D, anti-codon, and T loops). Further hydrogen bonds mediate the characteristic L-shaped molecular structure. tRNAs have two regions of fundamental functional importance: the anti-codon, which is responsible for specific mRNA codon recognition, and the 3' end, to which the tRNAs corresponding amino acid is attached (by aminoacyl-tRNA synthetases). tRNAs cope with the degeneracy of the genetic code in two manners: having more than one tRNA (with a specific anti-codon) for a particular amino acid; and 'wobble' base-pairing, i.e. permitting non-standard base-pairing at the 3rd anti-codon position. The record is from Rfam by way of RNAcentral. Lineage: Eukaryota; Metazoa; Chordata; Mammalia; Rodentia; Sciuridae.
UGGGUUGUAGCUCAGUGGUAGAGCUCUUGCCUAGCACACAAUCGAAUCCCUGGAUUCGAUUUCCAGUACCACAA